This 386-nucleotide ribosomal RNA is filed under the name uncultured bacterium. RNAcentral's name for it is "bacterial SSU rRNA". It matches the Rfam family "Bacterial small subunit ribosomal RNA", at positions 29 to 416 of the family's 1533-position model. The record is from RNAcentral.
AUUGAACGCUGGCGGCAUGCCUUACACAUGCAAGUCGAACGGCAGCGCGGGAGCAAUCCUGGCGGCGAGUGGCGAACGGGUGAGUAAUACAUCGGAACGUGCCCAAUCGUGGGGGAUAACGCAGCGAAAGCUGUGCUAAUACCGCAUACGAUCUACGGAUGAAAGCAGGGGAUCGCAAGACCUUGCGCGAAUGGAGCGGCCGAUGGCAGAUUAGGUAGUUGGUGAGGUAAAGGCUCACCAAGCCUUCGAUCUGUAGCUGGUCUGAGAGGACGACCAGCCACACUGGGACUGAGACACGGCCCAGACUCCUACGGGAGGCAGCAGUGGGAAUUUUGGACAAUGGGCGAAAGCCCUGAUCCAGCCAUGCCGCGUGCAGGAUGAAGGCC